This 1346-nucleotide ribosomal RNA is filed under the name uncultured bacterium. RNAcentral describes it as "bacterial SSU rRNA". It matches the Rfam family "Bacterial small subunit ribosomal RNA", at positions 28 to 1381 of the family's 1533-position model. The record is from RNAcentral.
GACGAACGUUGGCGGCGUGCUUAACACAUGCAAGUCGAACGGAAAGGCCCUGCUUUUGUGGGGUGCUCGAGUGGCGAACGGGUGAGUAACACGUGAGUAACCUGCCCUUGACUUUGGGAUAACUUCAGGAAACUGGGGCUAAUACCGGAUAGGAGCUCCUGCUGCAUGGUGGGGGUUGGAAAGUUUCGGCGGUUGGGGAUGGACUCGCGGCUUAUCAGCUUGUUGGUGGGGUAGUGGCUUACCAAGGCUUUGACGGGUAGCCGGCCUGAGAGGGUGACCGGCCACAUUGGGACUGAGAUACGGCCCAGACUCCUACGGGAGGCAGCAGUGGGGAAUAUUGCACAAUGGGCGGAAGCCUGAUGCAGCAACGCCGCGUGCGGGAUGACGGCCUUCGGGUUGUAAACCGCUUUCGCCUGUGACGAAGCGUGAGUGACGGUAAUGGGUAAAGAAGCACCGGCUAACUACGUGCCAGCAGCCGCGGUGAUACGUAGGGUGCGAGCGUUGUCCGGAUUUAUUGGGCGUAAAGGGCUCGUAGGUGGUUGAUCGCGUCGGAAGUGUAAUCUUGGGGCUUAACCCUGAGCGUGCUUUCGAUACGGGUUGACUUGAGGAAGGUAGGGGAGAAUGGAAUUCCUGGUGGAGCGGUGGAAUGCGCAGAUAUCAGGAGGAACACCAGUGGCGAAGGCGGUUCUCUGGGCCUUUCCUGGCGCUGAGGAGCGAAAGCGUGGGGAGCGAACAGGCUUAGAUACCCUGGUAGUCCACGCUGUAAACGGUGGGUACUAGGUGUGGGGUCCAUUCCACGGGUUCCGUGCCGUAGCUAACGCUUUAAGUACCCCGCCUGGGGAGUACGGCCGCAAGGCUAAAACUCAAAGGAAUUGACGGGGCCCCGCACAAGCGGCGGAGCAUGCGGAUUAAUUCGAUGCAACGCGUAGAACCUUACCUGGGUUUGACAUGGAUCGGGAGUGCUCAGAGAUGGGUGUGCCUCUUUUGGGGUCGGUUCACAGGUGGUGCAUGCCUGUCGUCAGCUCGUGUCGUGAGAUGUUGGGUUAAGUCCCGCAACGAGCGCAACCCUUGUUCACUGUUGCCAGCACGUUAUGGUGGGGACUCAGUGGAGACCGCCGGGGUCAACUCGGAGGAAGGUGGGGAUGACGUCAAGUCCUCAUGCCCCUUAUGUCCAGGGCUUCACGCAUGCUACAAUGGCUGGUACAGAGAGUGGCGAGCCUGUGAGGGUGAGCGAAUCUCGGAAAGCCGGUCUCAGUUCGGAUUGGGGUCUGCAACUCGACCUCAUGAAGUCGGAGUCGCUAGUAAUCGCAGAUCAGCAACGCUGCGGUGAAUACGUUCCCGGGGCU